GCUACUACCGAUUGAAUGGUUUAGUGAGGACUCCUGAUUGGCGCCGCCGCCCCGACAACGGAGCAGCGGACUACCGAAAAGUUGUUCAAACUUGAUCAUUUAGAGGAAGUAAAAGUCGUAACAAGGUUUCCGUAGGUGAACCUGCAGAAGGAUCAAAAUUGGAAGAGCACAUGUCAGAACACCAGUCACGUGGAACUAUCGCGUUUGCUGUUUUUUGAUCGAUAAAAAAAUAUCAUCUCACUAUUCCGACUAUAUGUAGAUGUCCUCAUACUCACAU
RNAcentral lists this unclassified non-coding RNA (277 nucleotides) under sea anemone metagenome. RNAcentral describes it as "partial contains small subunit ribosomal RNA and internal transcribed spacer 1". The stretch from base 1 to 158 matches the Rfam family "Eukaryotic small subunit ribosomal RNA", at positions 1678 to 1831 of the family's 1831-position model. The record is from RNAcentral.